AGCCGAUGGACAAAGACUGGGUGGAGAAGGCAGCGUCUGACGUGCUGCGAUUUGCAUAAGCGCCGAUAUAACAACUCCGGCGGACAGCCAACUCUCCUCAGUCUCCAGUGAGCACCGCUUAAGUCUGCGUUGAGAUAUAGACGGACGAUAGUUGGGACAAUGGCUGAUGAGAAACCCAAGGAACUUGAGGAAGGCUUGCAGCAGGAGAUCACUUCAUUCACGAAGUCUAACCUUAAAGAAACAAAGACCAAAGAGAUGCGGAUCUUGCCAGACGCAGCCACAAUUGAAGCAGAAAAACAGGCGGAAAAAGAAGCAGCAAAAUGAAAGUGACCUUUCUUUCCUGAUUUUUGCACUGUACAUUCCACAAGCAUUGCCUUCUAGCUAUGUAUUUCCUUUUUCAAAAAAACUUUGGAUAUUGAGUGAACUGGUUGGCUCCUACUCCCAUCAACCUCCCUCCUAUUCCCAUCUAUCCUUUCUACCCCAAAAUCUAUCUUCUCCCACUUGCCCCCCCCCCUUUCUUUUUUGUUUUGGAAAGAGGGCAGGGGCAGAAGGGGAAAUUUAACUACUGACUGUAUGGCUGGCUUAGUACUUCUGAUGGCACUAAGAGCUUGCAUGUCUUGAGAGGUGCCUGGAAAAGACUGCAGGAACCUUUAAUAACCAAAUGCAUGUGAAUGGAGUGAAGAUGUCAAGGACCUAUGUUCAGUUCAAUCGAAUCAACUACGUAGAGUGCCAUUUUGUUAGGUCUCUUGGCAUGCACAGUAACUGAUUUUUGGUUUUUGUUUUGAUAUGCAAAUAAACAAACAUUUGAAAUUUA
Chiloscyllium plagiosum (whitespotted bambooshark) is the source of this 814-nucleotide long non-coding RNA. RefSeq lists it as uncharacterized. The record is from RefSeq and is a predicted model, not a curated record. Lineage: Eukaryota; Metazoa; Chordata; Chondrichthyes; Orectolobiformes; Hemiscylliidae.